Molecule: ribosomal RNA, 301 nt
Filed under: uncultured bacterium
Lineage: Bacteria
Description: partial 16S ribosomal RNA
Rfam family: Bacterial small subunit ribosomal RNA
Source: RNAcentral
CAGUAGCCACGGGAAUACGUAGGUGGCAAGCGUUGUCCGGAAUUAUUGGGCGUAAAGCGCGCGCAGGUGGUUUAAUAAGUCUGAUGUGAAAGCCCACGGCUCAACCGUGGAGGGUCAUUGGAAACUGUUAAACUUGAGUGCAGGAGAGAAAAGUGGAAUUCCUAGUGUAGCGGUGAAAUGCGUAGAGAUUAGGAGGAACACCAGUGGCGAAGGCGGCUUUUUGGCCUGUAACUGACACUGAGGCGCAAAAGCGUGGGGAGCAAACAGGAUUAGAUACCCGCGUAGUCCCUGUCUCUUAUAC